This 1151-nucleotide non-coding RNA is filed under the name Pongo abelii (Sumatran orangutan). The record is from RNAcentral. Lineage: Eukaryota; Metazoa; Chordata; Mammalia; Primates; Hominidae.
AUUUUCAGUAUCUUGAGACCCCUCCGACAUUUCCUCUUCAGACUGGACUCCAAGACAUUUAAAUCGCCACAUUGCAUUAUAAAUGGUUUUGAUCCGAGAAGCUGCAUGAGCAGUUAUCCAUUUAAAAAUGUGCUCUACUUCAAUCUUGCGUCCACUGUAUUCUUUAAGCAUGACUUUCCCUUUUGAAGUACUUGUUUGUGGAACAGACAUAAUGAGUGUGGAUCGGACCCAGCCUCUUCUCCUGCAAUAUCUAUAAGAGAGGAAACUAGACCAUGCAUAAAAUGGACCUGGAAAAGCUUGAAAAUGUGAAGAGGAUUGAACUGGCUGGCAUCUGUGCAUCUUCAUCUAUGAAAACACUCCUCAUAGACUUAAAACAAAUGACAGAGAACAAAUUAGUCAGCUUCUAAAACACAGUGGUCUCCCCUUAUCCUCAGUUUCACUUUCUGCAGUCAACUGCAGUCCAAAAAUACUACAUACAGUUAGAUAUUCGGAGAGAGACAUACCACAUUUACAUAAAUGUUAUUUCAGUAUACUGUUAUAAUUGUUCUAUUUUUAUUAUUAGUUGUUGUUGUUACUGUGCCUAACUUACACAUUAAACUUUAUGACAGGUAUGUAUGUAUAGGAAAAAACAUAGACUAUAUAGGAUUUGGUACUAUCCACGGUUUUAGGCAUCCACUGGGAGUCUUGGAACGUAUCCCCCUCAGAUAAGGGGGGACUACUGUAAACAGAAAAUAACAACAAUUCAAAUUGUUAAAAACUGAAUUCUUGAAAGUUAUCCUUUAUAAUAGAUUAAUAUAUAUGAUCUGAGCUGAAAGAAUGGCAAACAAUGGAGACAAUAUUUCUCUUCUGUUUCUAGUAGAUAUUUUCAAUUUUAAGCAUAGUUUAAAAAAAAAAUACAACCCUCUUUUAAGGGCUUAAACCAAGGUGGCUGUGCUGAUUGGCUUAGCUGGCUAGUUCACAGUGCCAAGGACAGGGUUUCAAUCUCAUUCUUCUCAGUUGUCCUGCCAGAGAUUUUCUUUCAGACCAGGCCAGCCAUUUGACAGAUGUAAGCCACUGGCCUCAAGGAACACAAGCCAGACAGUGGUGGUCAACACAAACCUUGAGCAUCACUGGAAAAAUUAAGUAGGUGUCCUACUGCAUUAUUUCCAUAC